AGCCAAUCGCGCGCCCCCGGCCCACGUGCCGCGUGGCGAGGAGCUGCGCGCUCGCGGAGGGAGCCACGGGAAGGGGGAAAAAGGAGCAAAAAGGAGGAAAAAGGAGCAAAAAGGAGGAAAAAGGAGCAAAAAGGAGGGAGCAGUCGUGCGGGCGAGAUGGCGGUGGCUGGGUGUUCGUGCUGAGACCGAAACUGCACACGAUAGUCAAGGUGAGGCUGCACCAGUGCAGAGCAGAGCGGGAAUGGCUGCUUAGCCCCUGGCUGCUGGGCUGUUUUAAAUGGACUGGCCCUUUGACACCAUUCAGUGUGAAUGUAGAAUGAGUUGAACUCAAUGAAGCCCUUUCCACCUCUCCCACCCAGAAGGCAUGAUGGAGGCUUUCUGACAACUCCUACAAACUCUCCUUUCUGCAAACUCUCCUUUCCAACGAACUUGAGUAGCUUUUUUUUCCUGCUAGUUCAGAAUCUGAAAUAUUUUUCCAUUCUGCAGGUAACAAGUUAUCCAGCUGUAAGCGCAGUGUCCAUACCAAAUGUGAGUGUCCAUGGAGAAAUGGAGAAAUCCAGCCCUUCACAGGCAGCAAAUUGUUCACAAUCACUAGAAAGAGUGUACUUCUACUUACUGUGACACAAAUUAGGAACUUCCCUGAAGUUAGAGAUGCUCCAACAUUGGUGAAACCAAUCUUGGAGAUCUUGGUGAAAGAACUGCCACUGCAGGGAUUUCACAUCAUUAGUUUUACUUCUAAUGAAAAGGUUAAUGAUCCACUUACUGUCUAGACAAUUGUAUGGACACAGAAGGAACUGAGUUAGGUUCUGAAGAGAAUGAACAAAUUCCUAUACUUAGUGGUUAAGCAUUUUCAAAUAAACGGAAUUUUUGGAGCUUCUCACAGGUAAAAUUUUGAAGAUGGCCAGCCACAAGGACUUCCAUAAAAAGAAGGAGUGCUUAUUGAAAUACAGCAAAAGGUAUGGAAAGAGAUAAAUGAUUGUUGCAAAAUUAGUAAUUUUCAAUUAAAAAACCCCAAACAACUCCAAGGGUACAAGGGUUUUCAUGUAAUUAUCUUAUAAAUGGCCUUCAAAGAGGACUUUUGCUUCAGGACCCUUGCCAGCAGGAGCUCUGCAAGAGGCUGGAAUUUCAGUGAGGAAUGGCAUACUGUGGCACAAUAGCAGCGCAUCUGUUGUGAAUGGCAGCUGCUGCACAGCACUGAGCAUUGUGCAUGUCUCACUGUUUACAGACAACUGUUUUGUAUGUUAUCUGUUUUCUGGAGCCACCAGUGAAAUGUAUUGCAUGAGGUUUUCUUAGUAGAAUCACGAUGUAUGUUUCAGAUACUAGUUUUAAAGUAGUAUAGUUAGACAAGUGUAUUAAAAUAUCCCAGAGUUCUUAAAGUGUUGGCUAAACACUGAGGAUUACCAUAUAAAGAAACAUUAAGACUUCCUCAUCAGACAGUGAGUUACUAUGCUGAUGAACUAAGAGCAAUGUGUAGUCUGUAAUACUGAAACUUAAACAUUUAAGUCCUGGUUGUGGCAUAUAAAAAUCUUUCCUCUAAAUGUGAAAUGGAUGAGUUAAUUCCAUUCAUCAUUGCAAGAUGUUGAAAAUUGCAGGGUUUAUUUUGUUUUAAAUCAUGAUGCUUCUAAGGAAGUUGAAGAAGUGAGCUGUUAGAGGAACUAGUAUAGAGAUUCUCACUACAACAGAGAAAGCAGAAAAGAAAUAUUUGGAAAGUAGUUUCAGCUGACCCCUUUGAUAAGACUAAGUUGCGUGACAUAUCUGAUGUGGAAGCAGAAAUUAUACAGCAAUAGGAAGUUGUUAUCUCCAUAUCUCAAAUGCUAACACAGUUCCCCCAGUCAACUGUGAGGCAGAUCUACUCUUGUUAUGACAGCUGUUGGAAACUGAUGUCAGUAUAACUGUGCAAUGUCUUUUGAUAGUCUUAACUAUUACAAACCUUAAAAUAUGUUUAUGAUGUUAUCUAAGACACAUUAUUUGGAAAUGGCUCUAUUUCUAAUCAGAAAUUGCUCAAGUUAUUUUAAUAAAUAAAUUAUAAACUUGCGAGUUUCCUAGUCAGAUUUGCUUGAAAAAGCAUUGUGAACUUUUUGUUUCUGAAGACUUAAGACUGAGGAUUAAUUAAUGUUUAUACAGCACUUUGUAAAAGCAAAGUCACAAGUGCCAAGAAUUAUUACUAUUUAAUCUUUAAAAAUCAGAUCAGUGACAGACUAAACUGUCAGAGAACUGCUGUUUAAAGCAACAAAAAUGCUGAAAAUCCUCUUCUUCCCCCAUACUUAAAUAUGUCCAAGUGUGCUUUCAUUUCAACCUCUCUUACAUAAAGACAAGCAAAGAUACUUUUCAGUUUAAAUGGGUUAACGCCCAUCUUUGUUUAAAUACGUGAGGAUAUUACCUAAAAUCCUAGGGACAUUUUACAAAAUGAAAAAAUUAUUUGUUUCUGAAAUGCAUUUCCAGGGCCCAAAUGUUGCAAAUAUUUUUAUAUGCAAAUCCUACUCAGCAGUGUAAUAUAUCUGAUUAACCAGUGCUACUUCUGCGCACAACUUCACCUAUUUGUGUGAUGGGUCAGAUCCUUGUAGUGAUAGUUAAUUUGUAUUAGACUUGCAUAGCUAUUUUGACUUCUGAGAAAAAAGAAUCUUUACAUAAUUUUUUAAAAUUUGCUUCUCUUUUUACUUUACACCAAACAGAGGUAAGGUUUAGAAACCAUUUUCCUCAAGAAAUAAAUGUACAUAUUGGAAAACAAGCAACAAGAAAGAGGAGACUGGAAAAGUAGAGAAGCUCAUCAGUGAAAUAUAGAAUUAAUGGAUAAAGUCAUCUUUUCAGGGUUACAGAAACAUGUUUUAGUGCAUCAUUAUUAUUUAGGGAGAAAUACUGCAUUUUGCUUUGGCUAUACCUUAAAUGAUAUUCUUCCUUAACAGCCAUACAUAUAUUAUUCAUGCGAUGCUAAUUACUUUCCUUAUAACGUAAUUGACUUGUUAAGUAAGAGUAUGAAUUAAUUGGUGGCAUUGAAAACUAAAUGAUACCAAGUCAGGCCUAGUUAAUCUGUGUCUGGCUUUUUAUCUCUUGAUAUUUAGUAAAUUUAAAAUUUAUAUAUACAAAUUUAUUUAGAAAAAACAAAUUUCACAGACUGACUAAUGAAAGCUGUUUACAUUUAUCUGGAAGUCUUGAUAACUUGAUCUUACUCAGAUGCAAGCAAACUGUUAAAAUUUGGGUUUGCAUGUUACCAUGGUGCAUACUGAAAUAUGAACAUCUUGAGGGUCCUAUGGACUGAUAAACCUCUCAAAGAAUAGUUUUCAAACAAUGCUUAGCACCUAUCAGUUAUGCCUAAUUUUAGUUGCAAGUUGUUAAUAAACAAGUUAAGAUUUAUGUACACUUAAAUUUAGACUCAAGAAUAUAUGUCAGUAUUUCAGAAGAUCUCACUAGCCACCAUUAAGACUAGAUCUUCAAAGAGCUCAGUGUCUGGAAUGUUAAACUUCUUUGCAAGUCUGGUCCCAAUUAUGGGUUCUAAGUUCUUCUGAAAAUCUAAAUUAUAUUUAAAUACCUACAGAAGAAACUUGAGUCUUAUUUUAACAGUCUGACUCCAGCUGCAGGCACAGAACACUCAUGGAUUUGGCCCAAAUUCACACCCUUUAAAACUACAAAUGUAUAGUGAAUAAUCCUAAAUCUUCUAAUGAUUGUUCCUUUAUAAUCAAUUUCUGGAGUACAUAUCUUAAAAUUUCUUAAACACAGUACAUUUUCAUAAAUAUGAAUUUGAGGAAGAGAAUACAAAACACCAUGAGUGGAAAUCGCAUCACUAAACUGCAGGAAAACUUUUAUGAAGUUCAGUAAAACCAGGUGUUUUCUCUAGACAAACCCAAGAUUUCUUUUAAUAUAUUUAUUAAAAUGCCUUAGAGGAAAUCUCUAUCAUCAGGUUAAAAUGUUGCUUUUAUUUUCAAGAUUUCUUUUCAUAUGGUACAGUUGAACUAUCAUCUCUUCAAAAAUAAAACUAUUUCCUUUUGCGUAUAAGGAUGUUAUGUUUAUAAAUUUAUUUCUAGUAAGUUGUGAAAGCUGAGACUUUUUUUUCCUCUCAAGUAUGAAACUAUUAGGCUUAAAAGUGUUGCUUGAAGAAGUCACAUUUUAAUAAGUGCACUGAGAGCAAACAAAGUAUUACAGUGUGUAGGAAAUAUGGUUGGUCUUUCCUUAGAAAAUAAAUACACCCCUUAGACAUGUAAUACUUGUAUUCAAAUAUAAAAUUAGAAAACUAUAGACAGUAAGAAUGAGCAGUGUACAGCAAAAUCUUAUGUACCCCCAAAGCACUGAAAAUUUUUUUUGAUUUUGCUUCAGUUUUCAGUUGUCUAUGUAUUCUAGAUAGUCCAUUCUCAAUAUAGUUCUGUCUAAGAGUUGCAAAUAAAAUGCCACAUAAAUUAUAUAAAA
Long non-coding RNA from Pseudopipra pipra, 4398 nucleotides. RefSeq lists it as uncharacterized. Lineage: Eukaryota; Metazoa; Chordata; Aves; Passeriformes; Pipridae. The transcript is spliced from 2 exons. The record is from RefSeq and is a predicted model, not a curated record.